This 1111-nucleotide long non-coding RNA is filed under the name Cricetulus griseus (Chinese hamster). RNAcentral describes it as "lncRNA (ENSCGRG00015033720.1)". Lineage: Eukaryota; Metazoa; Chordata; Mammalia; Rodentia; Cricetidae. The record is from RNAcentral.
CCAGGAAGUAGAAAAUAAGUACAGCGGUGGAUCUCGUGGGCCACUGUUCACGUGACAAAAAAUAAAAUAGAACAAGCAUUUGUCCAAGGAGUCUGAUGUUAGCUUAUAAUUAACAGAACUGGACUGGGGUGAAGCUCAGCUUAGAGGGUGCUGACUCGGCACACACCUGGGAUUAAGCCUCAGCGCUGAAGAAAAGGGCACACAGUGGAGAAAGCGUCCAGAAGGUGGAGGCAGGGCUUAAGGCAGAGAGUUCACAAACAGCGCCGGGAUACAUGAGACCCCAAGAAAGAAAAAAACACAAGUCCCUAGAAUCUAGUAAAGUUAGCCCCAGAAAAGACUCUUUUGGCUCGCAGUUUUGGAGGCAUCAGAAAUUAUCACUGGCCUUUUUUUGGUUUGGGCCUGAAGUGACUCUAUGUGGAGAGCAUGUGGUGAUGCAAGAUGUUUGUUCCACAGCUGAGAAGGAAAAGAGGAAUAAGAUCAGGCCAGGGAACCUUCUGCUAGGCAUAACCUUGUAAAGGCUACCCAUCCUCUGGGUAUAACUGCUCCAGGAUCCUCAGACCAUCACUGGGGGAUUCUAGGCAGGGGCUCUACCACUGAGCCACACCCCAGCCCCUCACUGGGGGAUUCUAGGCAGGGGCUCCACCACUGAGCCACGCCCCCAGCCCCUCACUGGGGGAUUCUAGGCAGGGGCUCCACCACUGAGCCACGCCCCCAGCCCCUCACUGGGGGAUCCUAGGCAGGGGCUCCAUCACUGAGCCACGCCCCCAGCCCCUCACUGGGGGAUUCUAGGCAGGGGCUCUACCACUGAGCCACGCCCCCAGCCCCUAACUGAAGGAUUUAGGUGUUAUAUUUUGCUGCUAUAUUCCAACCCCCUUUUCACCCCCUUUUUUAUUUUGAGACAGAGUCUGACCUUGUAGCUCAGGCUGGACUCCCAGUUCACCAGCAUAUCAGGCUGAACAUCCGAUUACUAGCAAAGUCCCCAGGGUGGCACUUUUGCUAUGGUCUCGGACUCCUCACAUAGGGGACCACUGUGCUUCCAAGAGGCUCUGGGUUCCAUUCCUAUCACCACAAGAACAAAACCCGAGAUCACUGUGUGGAAGCAGUAGGCUGG